Molecule: ribosomal RNA, 438 nt
Filed under: uncultured bacterium
Lineage: Bacteria
Description: bacterial SSU rRNA
Rfam family: Bacterial small subunit ribosomal RNA
Source: RNAcentral
ACUCCUACGGGAGGCAGCAGUGGGGAAUAUUGCACAAUGGGCGCAAGCCUGAUGCAGCCAUGCCGCGUGUAUGAAGAAGGCCUUCGGGUUGUAAAGUACUUUCAGCAGUGAGGAAGGUGGGUAUGUUAAUAGCAUACUCAUUUGACGUUAGCUGCAGAAGAAGCACCGGCUAACUCCGUGCCAGCAGCCGCGGUAAUACGGAGGGUGCGAGCGUUAAUCGGAAUUACUGGGCGUAAAGCGCAUGCAGGUGGUUUGUUAAGUCAGAUGUGAAAGCCCGGGGCUCAACCUCGGAAUUGCAUUUGAAACUGGCAAACUAGAGUACUGUAGAGGGGGUUAGAAUUUCAGGUGUAGCGGUGAAAUGCGUAGAGAUCUGAAGGAAUACCGGUGCGAAGCGGCCCCUGGACAGAUACUGACACUCAGAUGCGAAAGCGUGGGAGC